Molecule: ribosomal RNA, 253 nt
Filed under: uncultured bacterium
Lineage: Bacteria
Description: partial 16S ribosomal RNA
Rfam family: Bacterial small subunit ribosomal RNA
Source: RNAcentral
UACGGAGGGGGCUAGCGUUGUUCGGAAUUACUGGGCGUAAAGCGCACGUAGGCGGCUUUGUAAGUUAGAGGUGAAAGCCCAGGGCUCAACCCUGGAAUUGCCUUUAAGACUGCAUCGCUUGAACAUCGGAGAGGUAAGUGGAAUUCCGAGUGUAGAGGUGAAAUUCGUAGAUAUUCGGAAGAACACCAGUGGCGAAGGCGACUUACUGGCUCAUUACUGACGCUGAGGCUCGAAAGCGUGGGGAGCAAACAGG